GGGAUGUGAUGAGUGGGUUUGAACUCGCGUUGCGAGAUGGGUGUCUGCCCUAAGCCUGGUUACGACAAUGUGGCACUCUAAUAUUUUCCAUUCUGAUCCC
Magnolia sinica is the source of this 100-nucleotide small nucleolar RNA. RefSeq annotates it as small nucleolar RNA Z279/snoR105/snoR108. The record is from RefSeq and is a predicted model, not a curated record. The transcript has a single exon. Lineage: Eukaryota; Viridiplantae; Streptophyta; Magnoliopsida; Magnoliales; Magnoliaceae.